RNAcentral lists this ribosomal RNA (439 nucleotides) under uncultured bacterium. RNAcentral's name for it is "partial 16S ribosomal RNA". It matches the Rfam family "Bacterial small subunit ribosomal RNA", at positions 339 to 795 of the family's 1533-position model. The record is from RNAcentral.
CUACGGGCGGCUGCAGUGAGGAAUAUUGCACAAUGGGGGGAACCCUGAUGCAGCAACGCCGCGUGGAGGAUGACGCAUUUCGGUGUGUAAACUCCUUUUAUAUGUCAAGAAAAUGACGGUAGCAUAUGAAUAAGCACCGGCUAACUCCGUGCCAGCAGCCGCGGUAAUACGGAGGGUGCAAGCGUUACUCGGAAUCACUGGGCGUAAAGGACGCGUAGGCGGGUUGGAAAGUCAGGUGUGAAAUCCUACAGCUUAACUGUAGAACUGCACUUGAAACUUCUAAUCUAGAGUAUGGGAGGGGGAGAUGGAAUUAGUGGUGUAGGGGUAAAAUCCGUAGAUAUCACUAGGAAUACCUAAAGCGAAGGCGAUCUCCUGGAACAUUACUGACGCUAAGGCGUGAAAGCGUGGGGAGCAAACAGGAUUAGAUACCCGGGUAGUC